AUUGAACGCUGGCGGCAUGCUCUACACAUGCAAGUCGAACGGUAACAGGCCGCAAGGUGCUGACGAGUGGCGAACGGGUGAGUAAUACAUCGGAACGUGCCCAGUCGUGGGGGAUAACUACUCGAAAGAGUAGCUAAUACCGCAUACGAUCUAUGGAUGAAAGCGGGGGACCGUAAGGCCUCGCGCGAUUGGAGCGGCCGAUGUCAGAUUAGGUAGUUGGUGGGGUAAAGGCUCACCAAGCCAACGAUCUGUAGCUGGUCUGAGAGGACGACCAGCCACACUGGGACUGAGACACGGCCCAGACUCCUACGGGAGGCAGCAGUGGGGAAUUUUGGACAAUGGGCGCAAGCCUGAUCCAGCAAUGCCGCGUGCAGGAAGAAGGCCUUCGGGUUGUAAACUGCUUUUGUACGGAACGAAACGGCUCUGGUUAAUACCCGGGGCUAAUGACGGUACCGUAAGAAUAAGCACCGGCUAACUACGUG
RNAcentral lists this ribosomal RNA (482 nucleotides) under uncultured bacterium. RNAcentral's name for it is "partial 16S ribosomal RNA". It matches the Rfam family "Bacterial small subunit ribosomal RNA", at positions 30 to 507 of the family's 1533-position model. The record is from RNAcentral.